GACGAACGCUGGCGGCGUGCCUAAUACAUGCAAGUCGAGCGCAGGAAACUGACGGGACUCUUCGGAGGGAAGGCAGCGGAAUGAGCGGCGGACGGGUGAGUAACACGUAAGGAACCUGCCUCAAGGAUUGGGAUAACUCCGAGAAAUCGGAGCUAAUACCGGAUAGUUCAUCGGACCGCAUGGUCCGUUGAUGAAAGGCGCUUCGGCGUCACCUUGAGAUGGCCUUGCGGUGCAUUAGCUAGUUGGCGGGGUAACGGCCCACCAAGGCGACGAUGCCUAGCCGACCGGAGAGGGUGAUCGGCCACACUGGGACUGAGACACGGCCCAGACUCCUACGGGAGGCAGCAGUAGGGAAUCUUCCACAAUGGACGAAAGUCUGAUGGAGCAACGCCGCGUGAGUGAUGAAGGUUUUCGGAUCGUAAAACUCUGUUGUAAGGGAAGAACACGUACGAGAGGAAAUGCUCGUACCUUGACGGUACCUUACGAGAAAGCCACGGCUAACUACGUGCCAGCCGCCGCGGUAA
RNAcentral lists this ribosomal RNA (524 nucleotides) under uncultured bacterium. RNAcentral's name for it is "partial 16S ribosomal RNA". It matches the Rfam family "Bacterial small subunit ribosomal RNA", at positions 28 to 523 of the family's 1533-position model. The record is from RNAcentral.